This 734-nucleotide small RNA is filed under the name Pan troglodytes (chimpanzee). RNAcentral's name for it is "processed transcript". Lineage: Eukaryota; Metazoa; Chordata; Mammalia; Primates; Hominidae. The record is from RNAcentral.
AGAUAAGAUAACUCAUAUUGAAGAGAAAUCUUACAAGUGUGAAUAAUGUGGUAAAGUCUAUAAAAAGUCCUGAAUUCUUAACAGACAUAAGAUUAUUCAUACUGGAGAGAAACUCUACAAACCUGAAAGAUGUGCCAACGCUUUUGACACGUCAAACUUUUCUAAACAUCAAGAAAAUCAUGCUGCUGAGAAAUCCUAGAAAUGUGAAGAAUGUGACAAAGCCUCUAAAUGAUUGUCACACUUGAUCGUAGGUAAGAUAAUUCAUACUGGAGAAAACUACCAGUGUGAACAAUGUGGCCAAGCUUUGAACCAAUGCUCACACCUUAAUGCAUAGGAAAGCAUUUAUACUUGAGAAAAAGUGAACAAAUAUAGACAAAAAGCCAUUAAUACCUGCUCACAUCGUACUCAAAAUCAGAGCGUUCAUACUAAAUAAGAAGUGUAAUUACUGUCAAACGAUUGAUCAGAAAAUAUGUCUUUAAAGUACAGAAGAGUAUUUAUUUUGAAAAAGCAUUACAAAUAUGAAGAGGCAUUAUUUAUGACCUUUUCUAUGGAAAGACAGAGUCUUGCUCCAUCGCCAGGCUGGAGUGCAGUGGCGCAAUCUCGUCCCACUGCUCACUGCAACCUCUGCCUCCCCUAUUGAAGUGAUUCUCCUGUCUCAGCCUCCUGAGUAGCUGGGACUACAGGCACACACCACCACGCUCAGCUAAUUUUUGUAUUUUCAGAAGAGACGGGGU